AACCGGGGGAACUGAAACAUCUAAGUACCCCGAGGAAAAGAAAUCAACCGAGAUUCCCCCAGUAGCGGCGAGCGAACGGGGAGCAGCCCAGAGCCUGAAUCAGUGUGUGUGUUAGUGGAAGCGUCUGGAAAGGCGUGCGAUACAGGGUGACAGCCCCGUACACAAAAAUGCACAUAUUGUGAGCUCGAUGAGUAGGGCGGGACACGUGGUAUCCUGUCUGAAUAUGGGGGGACCAUCCUCCAAGGCUAAAUACUCCUGACUGACCGAUAGUGAACCAGUACCGUGAGGGAAAGGCGAAAAGAACCCCGGCGAGGGGAGUGAAAAAGAACCUGAAACCGUGUACGUACAAGCAGUGGGAGCACGCUUAGGCGUGUGACUGCGUACCUUUUGUAUAAUGGGUCAGCGACUUAUAUUCUGUAGCAAGGUUAACCGAAUAGGGGAGCCGA
This 446-nucleotide ribosomal RNA is filed under the name Shigella boydii. RNAcentral's name for it is "partial 23S ribosomal RNA". It matches the Rfam family "Bacterial large subunit ribosomal RNA", at positions 181 to 669 of the family's 2925-position model. Lineage: Bacteria; Pseudomonadati; Pseudomonadota; Gammaproteobacteria; Enterobacterales; Enterobacteriaceae. The record is from RNAcentral.